GUCCACGCUGUAAACGAUGAUCACUCGUUGUUAGCGAUAUACUGUUAGCGACUUAGCGAAAGCAUUAAGUGAUCCACCUGGGGAGUACGGCGGCAACGUUGAAACUCAAAGGAAUUGACGGGGGCCCGCACAAGCGGAGGAGCAUGUGGUUUAAUUCGAUGAUACGCGAGGAACCUUACCUGGGCUUAAAUGUAGGACGACGUUUCGUGAAAGCGGAAUUUCCUUCGGGACGUCUUACAAGGUGCUGCAUGGUUGUCGU
RNAcentral lists this ribosomal RNA (259 nucleotides) under uncultured bacterium. RNAcentral's name for it is "partial 16S ribosomal RNA". It matches the Rfam family "Bacterial small subunit ribosomal RNA", at positions 793 to 1055 of the family's 1533-position model. The record is from RNAcentral.